This 887-nucleotide ribosomal RNA is filed under the name uncultured Treponema sp. RNAcentral's name for it is "partial 16S ribosomal RNA". The stretch from base 3 to 486 matches the Rfam family "Bacterial small subunit ribosomal RNA", at positions 30 to 543 of the family's 1533-position model. The record is from RNAcentral. Lineage: Bacteria; Pseudomonadati; Spirochaetota; Spirochaetia; Treponematales; Treponemataceae.
GACGAACGCUGGCGGCGUGCUUAACACAUGCAAGUCGAACGCUGAAGGCUCAGCUUGCUGGGCUGGAUGAGUGGCGAACGGGUGAGUAACACGUGAGUAACCUGCCCUCUUCUUUGGGAUAACGGUCGGAAACGGCUGCUAAUACCGGGUAUUCACUGUCCUUCGCAUGGGGGGUGGUGGAAAGGUUUUUUCUGGUGGGGGAUGGGCUCGCGGCCUAUCAGCUUGUUGGUGGGGUGAUGGCUUACCAAGGCUUUGACGGGUAACCGGCCUGAGAGGGUGACCGGUCACAUUGGGACUGAGAUACGGCCCAGACUCCUACGGGAGGCAGCAGUGGGGAAUAUUGCACAAUGGGCGAAAGCCUGAUGCAGCGACGCCGCGUGAGGGAUGAAGGCCUUCGUGUUGUAAUCCUCUUUCGCUCAUGGUCAACCCGCAACUUUUUGUUGUGGUGAGGUUAGUGGUUAAAGUGUCAUCUGGUAAUACGUGUUGGUUCCGCGGUGAUUGGUUUGUUGCUUUUUUUUUCUGAUUUUUUGGGGUUAGUGGUUGUAAUUUUUUAUUUUAUCUGCUUGCCUUCUCUGUCUUGCUGUGGGUGAGUCUCUGUGUUUUGCUGUGUUUGUGCGAUUUUAGAUUGAGGUGUGUUGUUUUUGUAUGUGAAUUUACUUGUGUGAAGUUGACCUGCGUUGUGUUUUGGUGGGUUGUGGUUGUGUGUGUGAGUGGUGAGUAGCUGUCGCCUCUUGUGUGUUGUUUGGUGUGAUUUUGUUUGUGUUGUUUAUUUUGUUUGUGUUGUUGGUGCGGGGUUUGUGUUGUUUUGGUAAGAUGGUACGAAAGGGUGGGUGUUUGGUCUGUAGUUGUUCCUUGUAAAAUUGAUUCCCCCCCAGUUUGAUAUGUGU